AGAGUUUGAUCCUGGCUCAGAAUGAACGCUGGCGGCAGGCCUAACACAUGCAAGUCGAACGGGUGCCUUCGGGUGCUAGUGGCGGACGGGUGAGUAACGCGUGGGAACAUACCCUUUGGUACGGAAUAGCCUCGGGAAACUGAGAGUAAUACCGUAUGUGCCCUUCGGGGGAAAGAUUUAUCGCCAAAGGAUUGGCCCGCGUUGGAUUAGGUAGUUGGUGGGGUAAUGGCCUACCAAGCCGACGAUCCAUAGCUGGUUUGAGAGGAUGAUCAGCCACACUGGGACUGAGACACGGCCCAGACUCCUACGGGAGGCAGCAGUGGGGAAUCUUAGACAAUGGGGGAAACCCUGAUCUAGCCAUGCCGCGUGAUCGAUGAAGGCCUUCGGGUUGUAAAGCUCUUUAAGCGGGGAGGAAGGUCAGCUACUUAAUACGUAGUUGAAUUGACGUUACCUGCAGAAUAAGCACCGGCUAACUCUGUGCCAGCAGCCGCGGUAAUACAGAGGGUGCGAGCGUUAAUCGGAAUUACUGGGCGUAAAGCGUGCGUAGGUGGUUUCUUAAGCUGGAUGUGAAAGCCCCGGGCUUAACCUGGGAACUGCGUUCAGGACUGGGAAACUCGAGUCUGGGAGAGGGUGGUGGAAUUUCCGGUGUAGCGGUGAAAUGCGUAGAUAUCGGAAGGAACAUCAGUGGCGAAGGCGACCGCCUGGCCUAAGACUGACACUGAGGCACGAAAGCGUGGGGAGCAAACAGGAUUAGAUACCCUGGUAGUCC
RNAcentral lists this ribosomal RNA (769 nucleotides) under uncultured bacterium. Its description in RNAcentral is "bacterial SSU rRNA". It matches the Rfam family "Bacterial small subunit ribosomal RNA", at positions 8 to 796 of the family's 1533-position model. The record is from RNAcentral.